This 254-nucleotide ribosomal RNA is filed under the name uncultured bacterium. RNAcentral describes it as "partial 16S ribosomal RNA". It matches the Rfam family "Bacterial small subunit ribosomal RNA", at positions 524 to 775 of the family's 1533-position model. The record is from RNAcentral.
GACGUAGGGCGCGAGCGUUGUCCGGAUUUAUUGGGCGUAAAGAGCUCGUAGGCGGCUUGUCGCGUCGGGAGUGAAAUCCACUGGCUUAACUGGUGGCUUGCUUUCGAUACGGGGCAGACUGGAGGUAUGGCAGGGGAGAACGGAAUUCCUGGUGUAGCGGUGAAAUGCGCAGAUAUCAGGAGGAACACCGGUGGCGAAGGCGGUUCUCUGGGCAUGUCCUGACGCUGAGGAGCGAAAGUGUGGGGAGCGAACGG